This 345-nucleotide unclassified non-coding RNA is filed under the name soil metagenome. Its description in RNAcentral is "partial contains 5.8S ribosomal RNA, internal transcribed spacer 2, and large subunit ribosomal RNA". The stretch from base 1 to 119 matches the Rfam family "5.8S ribosomal RNA", at positions 35 to 154 of the family's 154-position model. The record is from RNAcentral.
GAUGAAGAACGUAGCGAAAUGCGAUACGUAAUGUGAAUUGCAAAUUCAGUGAAUCAUCGAGUCUUUGAACGCACAUUGCGCCCCCUGGUAUUCCGGUGGGCAUGCCUGUCCGAGCGUCAUUGCUGCCCUCAAGCACGGCUUGUGUGUUGGGCCCCGUCCUCCGAUCCCGGGGGACGGGCCCGAAAGGCAGCGGCGGCACCGCGUCCGGUCCUCGAGCGUAUGGGGCUUUGUCACCCGCUCUGUAGGCCCGGCCGGCGCUUGCCGAUCAACUCAAAUUUUUAUCCAGGUUGACCUCGGAUCAGGUAGGGAUACCCGCUGAACUUAAGCAUAUCAAUAAGCGGAGGA